This 391-nucleotide ribosomal RNA is filed under the name Escherichia coli. Its description in RNAcentral is "bacterial SSU rRNA". The record is from RNAcentral. Lineage: Bacteria; Pseudomonadati; Pseudomonadota; Gammaproteobacteria; Enterobacterales; Enterobacteriaceae.
AAAUUGAAGAGUUUGAUCAUGGCUCAGAUUGAACGCUGGCGGCAGGCCUAACACAUGCAAGUCGAACGGUAACAGAAAGCAGCUUGCUGCUUUGCUGACGAGUGGCGGACGGGUGAGUAAUGUCUGGGAAACUGCCYGAUGGAGGGGGAUAACUACUGGAAACGGUAGCUAAUACCGCAUAACGUCGCAAGACCAAAGAGGGGGACCUUCGGGCCUCUUGCCAUCGGAUGUGCCCAGAUGGGAUUAGCUUGUUGGUGGGGUAACGGCUCACCWAGGCGACGAUCCCUAGCUGGUCUGAGAGGAUGACCAGCCACACUGGAACUGAGACACGGUCCAGACUCCUACGGGAGGCAGCAGUGGGGAAUAUUGCACAAUGGGCGCAAGCCUGAUG